AGAGUUUGAUCCUGGCUCAGGACGAACGCUGACGGUGUGCUUUAGACAUGCAAGUCGAACGAGAAAGCCCUUCGGGGUGAGUACAGUGGCGAACGGGUGAGUAACACGUGGGCAAUCUGCCCCUCGCAGGGGGACAACCGGGGGAAACCCCGGCUAAUACCCCGUACGCUUGCGGAGCCGCAUGGUUCCGCAAGGAGAGGUAGCUUCGGCCAUCCGGCGAGGGAUGAGCCCGCGGUACAUUAGCUAGUUGGUGGGGUAACGGCCCACCAAGGCUACGAUGUAUAGCUGGUCUGAGAGGAUGAUCAGCCACACUGGGACUGAGACACGGCCCAGACUCCUACGGGAGGCAGCAGUCGGGAAUCUUGCGCAAUGGGCGAAAGCCUGACGCAGCAACACCGUGUGAGCGAUGAAGGCCUUCGGGUCGUAAAGCUCUGUUGUUGGGGACGAAGGGCGAGGGGUUAAUAGCCCCGAGCUUGACGGUACCCUUCGAGGAAGCCCCGGCUAACUACGUGCCAGCAGCCGCGGUAAUACGUAGGGGGCGAGCGUUGUCCGGAAUUAUUGGGCGUAAAGAGCGUGUAGGCGGUUCGGUAAGUCUGCUGUGAAAACCCAGGGCUCAACCCUGGGCGUGCAGUGGAUACUGCCGGGCUAGAGGGUGGUAGAGGCGAGUGGAAUUCCCAGUGUAGCGGUGAAAUGCGCAGAUAUUGGGAGGAACACCAGUAGCGAAGGCGGCUCGCUGGGCCAUACCUGACGCUGAGACGCGAAAGCUAGGGGAGCGAACAGGAUUAGAUACCCUGGUAGUCCUAGCCGUAAACGAUGAACACUAGGUGUGGGCGGAGUCGAAUCUGUCUGUGCCGAAGCCAACGCGAUAAGUGUUCCGCCUGGGGAGUACGGCCGCAAGGCUGAAACUUAAAGGAAUUGACGG
RNAcentral lists this ribosomal RNA (922 nucleotides) under uncultured bacterium. RNAcentral's name for it is "bacterial SSU rRNA". It matches the Rfam family "Bacterial small subunit ribosomal RNA", at positions 8 to 916 of the family's 1533-position model. The record is from RNAcentral.